UAAUAUAAAGAAGAAGAAGAACUGCGAAGCUGGGUGUCGGUUCAAAAGUGACCUGCAGCUUCAAAUGAAUCUCGACCGCAUUUUGUCGCCUUGCCUGCUUUCCUGGACGCAGAGCCACCGCCGGUCAGAGUGAGAGCGUGUCUCUUGGUAUGUAAUGUUUAGGAAAACGAUUUGCGUCGCUGCAAAUAGAAAAUUAGCUUGAUAGCUUCCAGUUCAACGAGAAGGACCUCGCUGCAGCAAACAGAAAGGGGCGGGGCCAGUCCUAUACCUUAUUUGGAAACAAUAAGGUAUAGGAUACCUUAAAGAAGCGGGGUUCAGAGGUCGACUGAAAGAAGUUUGAGAGGUUCUUCCACUGAUGUUCGGCACACGAUCCACAAUGCAAAACCCACAAAGGCAACAAAAGAUCCACGUAUCCGUUUGCAACAUUCGGAACGGAGAGGAGAUUCUUCCGUAUUGCGUGAACGAUAAAUAUUGCUGUCCCCUUUGCUCGUACAGUGCCGAUGCAUCGUACAAGGUACAGAACCAUAUAGCAACAACUGCUAUGGUUCAACAUAACGAAUUCCAUAUAUUCAGAUGUGGCCUACCCUGUAGAGACACAUCUCACUUUCAUUGCCCGUACUGUUUUUCGACCAUUGACAGAAGGGACAGGUUUGUUAAUCACUUGGUUAAGCACACAGCGACUUUCAAUAUGGUGUCCAGCUGUGCAUCAGCCCAGACACUUGUCCAUCCAACAGCUACCAACCUGCAGGCAACACAGACACUUGUCCAUCCAGCAGCUACCAUCCUGCAGGCAGCCCAGCCACUUGUCCAUCCAGCAGCUACCAACAUCCUGGCAGCACAGACACUUGUCCAUCCAACAGCUACCAACCUGCAGGCAACACAGACACUUGUCCAUCCAACAGCUACCAACCUGCAGGCAGCCCAGCCACUUGUCCAUCCAGCAGCUACCAACAUCCUGGCAGCCCAGCCACUUGUCCAUCCAGCAGCUACCAACAUCCUGGCAGCACAGACACUUGUCCAUCCAACAGCUACCAACCUGCAGGCAACACAGACACUUGUCCAUCCAACAGCUACCAACCUGCAGGCAGCCCAGCCACUUGUCCAUCCAGCAGCUACCAACAUCCUGGCAGCACAGACACUUGUCCAUCCAACAGCUACCAACCUGCAGGCAACACAGACACUUGUCCAUCCAACAGCUACCAACCUGCAGGCAGCCCAGCCACUUGUCCAUCCAGCAGCUACCAACAUCCUGGCAGCCCAGCCACUUGUCCAUCCAGCAGCUACCAACAUCCUGGCAGCACAGACACUUGUCCAUCCAACAGCUACCAACCUGCAGGCAACACAGACACUUGUCCAUCCAACAGCUACCAACCUGCAGGCAGCCCAGCCACUUGUCCAUCCAGCAGCUACCAACAUCCUGGCAGCCCAGCCACUUGUCCAUCCAGCAGCUACCAACAUCCUGGCAGCACAGACACUUGUCCAUCCAACAGCUACCAACCUGCAGGCAACACAGACACUUGUCCAUCCAACAGCUACCAACCUGCAGGCAGCCCAGCCACUUGUCCAUCCAGCAGCUACCAACAUCCUGGCAGCACAGACACUUGUCCAUCCAACAGCUACCAACCUGCAGGCAACACAGACACUUGUCCAUCCAACAGCUACCAACCUGCAGGCAACACAGACACUUGUCCAUCCAAUAGCUACCAACCUGCAGGCAACACAGGCACCUGUCCGCUCAGAAGACAUGAUUACAUGUGAAAUGUGCCAUUUGCGCCUGAGAAAAAAGAAUCUUCGUAUUCAUUUGAAAAGAAAACACCAGGAAAAUGUGGAGCUGAUUUCACAAAAUCAUCAUUUAAGGAGUCAGUGUGUGGAUGCCAAAAAAGGUGUUUUUGCUGUUGAGAAAUCCUUUUAUGGUCCAUCAAAACCUUUACAUGUAAUAAAAAACACCUGGUCACAGUUUCACAGAUCAGAAUGUGAGCUUGACAGGUGUAAUGUGAAUGCACAGUUUGCCAAGCGAAGUGGGAUUUUGCCUUUUGAGUGUGAACACAUUCAGUCAUUACGCUUUUGUUCACUCGCCACAGACUCAGAAGGACCUCUGUCUGAAACUACCCUCAACAUCCUGGUUGACAACUUAUGGUUCAGUUUUCAAAGAAAAGAAGAACUUUUAAAAAAUCAGCAGGAGGCGCUAUCAAAUAAUACGCCGUUUUCAGUUCUUCUUUUUGGCAGUGGGACAGACACAACUUUUCACGUGUCUGUCUUUGAACCUAAAAUGGUGUUUUUCAGCAGACUUGGACGGGUCAUCGUCACUUAUGACAAAGGAAAAAACACCUGGCAUUGUGCAUGUACAGAGGGCAAAAGGUCCUGUACGCACAAGGCUACAGCAAUGUGGCAUCUCUUUGAAAAAAUGCCAGACAUGUUCAAAGAGGCAGUGAAUUCAGAGGAGGAUGUUAUGUGUGGGACAACAGUAUCAGAAUGUCAGGAGGAUAGUGGUUCCAUCACCGAUGAAGCAGCAGAGAGGAUAAUCAAGUACUUGAUUUACCAGAAGAAAAUACCUGCCGAUCUUCCCGACAGCCUUAUCACCAGCAGUAGAGACGCCAAGGCUCUCAGUGGGUUCCCCAAACAUCUGAUCCCAUCAGAGACCGAAUGCACAGAAUGUGGACAACACGCCAGUCUUGGUGACCCUCAGUUGGUAUCUUCCACUGCUAAAAUAUUGACUAUGACAGGAGUAGUUAAAGGUAUAUCAACAUACAGGAAGACUUGCCCCACCUGUUCCAUGGUUUACCGAUAUCAAGACUGGGAAGAUGGUGUCCACAACUUCAACGAUCACUUGCUGCUGUCCAUACAUCUGUGUCUGGUACUCAGGAAUGCAUUGCAGACUCACACCGCUGUAAGUCGCAUAAUCGAAAUGAUCGAAUACACAGAAGGAGAGAACUUUCCUAACAAGGAUCGGAUCCUGCAGGCAUAUCUGUCGUUUGAAGGUCUAAGUGACCAUGAUUACCAAUACUCAUGCAUUUCGUGUGGGUAUCAUCCUGCAGUUGUUGUCAUGGAACGCCAUAAGAAAGGUGUUUUCAGCAUGCCAGUUAGUGAAAUACCAAACCCACCUCAACACUAUAAUGGCAAAGUGAAUGCACGCUCUUUUUGGGAAGCGGUUACUAUGGAAGUGAUUAGCCGUGGACUUUAUCCGCCUGGCCGCAGGAAUCCUUUUGUUGUAAAAGCUACUUAUCACAACUGGUCCCCCUGGAUUGGACCACAGACGAGACGAUCUGACAUUUUGAUGAACACAGAGAGUGAAAAAGUCCACUUGCCUGAUUCCAACAGUGAUGUAGACCAGUUUCUCACAGAAGAGCGGCUUGCAGAUGAGGUUCUCAAUCUCAAGCUAUCUGAGAUCAGGAGACUCUGCAGUCAAUGUGGAAUUGACAGCACAGGUUCUAAGAUGGAUCUUGUGCUCCGUCUGCAGGACAGAAUGGCUUCUAGAGCCACACAUAACGAGGUUUUUGAUAAAGUGUGCGGUGCCUCUGGUGGGUGGGCUGUAAUCACUUGUCCCUGUGGCGUUAUUUAUUCUGUAAAGUUUAACCUGAGAGCGGAGAGCCCUAGAGACUUUGCAGACCUUCUUUUGUCCUGGAAGUUUUUUCCAAAUAUUACGGUGUACGACAACCCCAGGGGAUUAGUAAGUCAUCUAAAGAAGAGGUGCCCUGAGGAUACACCAUUUACCAUCCACGAAGGUAGAUUGGUUGAGCCCACACCUGAAAACAUAAGACAAGCUACUGAGAAAAACCUCGCUGUGAACCUGCCCUGGUUGAAUAACCGGAAAGAACCUGGAGACAAGGGAGGACAUCCUGUUACUGGCUCAUUAGAGCAUUAUUGUCUCAGUGAUGUUUCCCGCCGAGGCAAUAGCAAGGACGACGAGGAUGACGAGGACGUCUUGCGGCGGAUUGAGAUGGUUCCGGAACUUGCAGGAAGAUUAAACAGUCAGUGUGCAAAGCAACUAUUUGCAGGCAUGAGGAAGAACAACUACUUCCUCAACACGCUCACCCCAUCCACGCACGUCUUUCUGCAAAGAAACAUCCUCCACCAUUUCAAUCUUCGGAAGAACACAGAAGCCAAACAAGGAAUUCUAAAAUUUUGGUCCUAAACCAAAAUGGAUGCAUUUCUAACGGGCUGUGAGAAAAACCAGCAACAUGCUUGCAGCUUGGAAGCCAGCGUUGUUCGAACUCACCAAUGUCCUCUUGCUGACUCUUUGACAAGCUUAAAACCAACUGAAGCAAAUAAAUCCACCUGGAGUCAACAGCCUAAUACCACAGAAACGACUUUGUGUUCCCAAUAGUUUUCUACUGGAGAAAAUCAGUCAUGAAGUAAAAAGUGAAAUUUCCACAAACCAGCAGUAUAAACACAUUCUUGCUCAAGUAUUAGACCAAACCAGAGAUGAAGGUGAAUAUGUUGCUUGUGUUGAUGGGCAGGUCCUCACUAGAAGAGAUGUGUUCACUCUUGGGUUGUUGCAAGACGUCAAUGGGCAGAUGCCUUUGAAUGUACUUGAAGCUGUUCUCCAGGAGGUGGCGCUAGCACAGGGAGACUCGGCUUACCUCACCUUGGCAUUGACCUGCAAGUGCUUUGAAGCCAUUGUGUCUGAUCCAGUUUUCAGGAAGAAGACUCACUUUGCUUGGCUGGAUGGUGAGAUCAACUUGGGGCAAAUUUUCAGAGUCAUUCAAGGCAGAAAACCGGAUUCCUUUUUGCGGUUGUAACGUUUUCUUCCUGCAAUAUAAAAACUGUGUGGGCUUCACCGGCAAUGGAAGACAAGGAGAGUACCCUGGUUACUACUGUGAUGGCCGACCUGGACACUGCACUGACUGUCAAUACUGAAUGCAAGGAGAAUAUUAGUUGUUUUCCACAGUCUUUCACACAUUUCAGUUGCCACACGUUGCUGUU
RNA transcript from Xiphophorus hellerii (green swordtail), 4923 nucleotides. RefSeq lists it as uncharacterized. The record is from RefSeq and is a predicted model, not a curated record. NCBI's taxonomy places the organism in Eukaryota, Metazoa, Chordata, Actinopteri, Cyprinodontiformes, Poeciliidae. The transcript is spliced from 14 exons.